GAUGAACGCUGACAGAAUGCUUAACACAUGCAAGUCAACUUGAAGCAGUUUCGGCUGUGGAUGGUGGCGGACGGGUGAGUAACGCGUAAAUAACUUGCCCUUUAGACUGGGACAACUGUUGGAAACGACAGCUAAUACCGGAUAUUAUGAAACCUUGGCAUCAAGGGAUUAUGAAAGCUAUAUGCGCUAGAGGAGAGAUUUGCGUCCUAUUAGCUAGUUGGUGAGGUAAUGGCUCACCAAGGCGACGAUAGGUAGCCGGCCUGAGAGGGUGAACGGCCACAAGGGGACUGAGACACGGCCCUUACUCCUACGGGAGGCAGCAGUGGGGAAUAUUGGACAAUGGACCAAGAGUCUGAUCCAGCAAUUCUGUGUGUUUGAUGAAGGCCUUCGGGUUGUAAAGAACUUUAAGUAGGGAAGAAGAAAGUGACGGUACCUACAGAAUAAGCGACGGCUAAAUACGUG
Molecule: ribosomal RNA, 462 nt
Filed under: uncultured organism
Description: bacterial SSU rRNA
Rfam family: Bacterial small subunit ribosomal RNA
Source: RNAcentral